GGAAGAGAGACCUCUCCGGUGGGGGGCCCGGUCUUCAACACCGGUGAGGCAUGUAAAACAUGCCUGGUAGGUUCGACUCCUGCCUCUUCCGCCA
RNAcentral lists this transfer RNA (94 nucleotides) under Halieaceae bacterium. RNAcentral describes it as "tRNA-Sec". It matches the Rfam family "Selenocysteine transfer RNA". The record is from RNAcentral. Lineage: Bacteria; Pseudomonadati; Pseudomonadota; Gammaproteobacteria; Cellvibrionales; Halieaceae.